AAGUCGUAACAAGGUUUCCGUAGGUGAACCUGCGGAAGGAUCAUUAUAGAAUUGGCGCAAGCCUUUACUUAACUCCAACUACAUCUGUGAACCUUUGCCCUCGGGCAAUUAUUACAAACAUAUAGUGAUGAAUGUAUUUAAAACAUAACAAAUACAACUUUCAACAACGGAUCUCUUGGCUCUCGCAUCGAUGAAGAACGCAGCGAAAUGCGAUAAGUAAUGUGAAUUGCAGAAUUCAGUGAAUCAUCGAAUCUUUGAACGCAAAUUGCGCCUUUUGGUAUUCCGAAAGGCAUGCCUGUUUGAGUGUCAUAUAGACCUCACCUAAUCGGUUUUCCGACUAUGGUGCUUUGGGUGUCUGCCAUUUGUUUGGCUCACCUUAAAUGUCUAAGUGGAACAGCGUGAUAAGUUCUUCGCUACCCUUCCACUCUAAAUCCAAUUCAAUCUCUGACCUCAAAUCAGGUAGGACUACCCGCUGAACUUAA
This 482-nucleotide ribosomal RNA is filed under the name uncultured fungus. RNAcentral's name for it is "eukaryotic LSU rRNA". The stretch from base 156 to 309 matches the Rfam family "5.8S ribosomal RNA". The record is from RNAcentral. Lineage: Eukaryota; Fungi.